Molecule: long non-coding RNA, 1237 nt
Organism: Theobroma umbraticum
Lineage: Eukaryota; Viridiplantae; Streptophyta; Magnoliopsida; Malvales; Malvaceae
Source: RefSeq, a predicted model, not a curated record
AAAAGGGGAAAAGAAGAGCAUUGCUGAUUCCUCCUUCCCAUCUUAGAAAAACCAAACCCUUCCUUUCCCUCUUCGAUAUUUUGUGAGUAUUUAAUUUUGCUUCUUCACAUUCCACUAAACCGCCGCUUUUUAGAUCUUUCGCUUACGAACCAAACAAGGUGAUCGAAGAAUGGAGAACUUUAUAUAAAUAUUUAUGUAGGUAUUUUGUUAAUAGCUAAAAACUCUGAGCAGGAUUGCAUUUGUUGGCCUUUUGUUCUGUAAUUUUCUCAUGUCCAUUAAAAUGAAGUUGUAAUGAGUGAAUUACUCUUCCGAAGAUAUUUUCUUGGCCCAUUCUGAGUUUGCAUCUGAAGUUUAGGGACAGUUAUGAAGCAUCCAUAUGCGGCUGAAAGCAGUUAUAUUUGGCUGGUCUUGAUAUGUUUCCAAGAAUCUGGUGCUAUCUUUUUAUUGGGUACUAAGGAAGGUCGUUGAUCUGCACUUUAUAGUAUUCUGCAGUUCAUAUUACAAUGGUGCAAUUUGCAGUUUAUGUUACGCGUGGACAUGCAUACCAUUAACGGGAAUAUAGCAUUAGAAGAAACGUUAACAUAGGCUUAAUAUCCAGGAUUCUGCUUACCCUCUACAACCACCCCCCCUAAAAUUAUAAUUAUAAAUGCUGUUACUUUUGUUGGAAGACACUAGAUCCUAAUUAGUGAUCCCUAGGUUGUUUAACUUCACCAUUGAUCCUGAACUGGGUACUGUUUAAUACUCUAAUUUUCCUUCUCUUUUUCUUUUCAAUUACGAUUACUUUUCAUUUACUUGCAAUGGAAUUUUUCAUGUGCUUGUGUAUUUCUUGACGCCUUAAUUUUCAGCCUAAUCCUGGGUUGCCAUCAACACAUCAUCGAAGGGUAGCUUGUUCCUUCAGGGAUCAGUCACUUUUUCAAAUAUUCCAAAUAUCUUUAACAUCGCUGCGUCAUCUGAAAAAUGAUGUUGCAAGUCGAUUGCAAGAGCUGGCACUCUCUCUUGCACUGAAAUGUUUAUCCUUUGAUUUUGUUGGGACAUCAAUUGAUGAAAGUUUAGAAGAGUUUGGUACCGUUCAGAUUCCAUCAUCUUGGAGACCAGUAUUGGAGGAUUCUUCAACACUUCAGAUAUUUUUUGAUUAUUAUUCCAUUUCUAAAGCUCCUCUUUCAAAGGAGUGCCAAAGGAAUAGCACACUUACAUUGGUGGACAUGAAAAGUCAACUGGUGAGGGAUGAAUUAUGGGG